GUGGUGUCGUCUGCGCGUCGCUGUAUGGAUUAUAUAUCGGCGUCGCGUUAAAAUAAUAGUAUUUCAACAUAUAUUGUUGGUUAUAAGCAGUCGUUGUGCGUUAUCCUUUCGU
This 112-nucleotide unclassified non-coding RNA is filed under the name uncultured Eimeria. RNAcentral describes it as "sequence contains ITS2". Lineage: Eukaryota; Apicomplexa; Conoidasida; Eucoccidiorida; Eimeriidae. The record is from RNAcentral.